CCUACGGGUGGCUGCAGUGAGGAAUAUUGGUCAAUGGACGCAAGUCUGAACCAGCCAUGCCGCGUGGAGGAUGAAGGCCUUCUGGGUUGUAAACUUCUUUUAUAUGGGAAGAAAAGUACGGUUUCUACUGUAUCCGACGGUACCAUAUGAAUAAGCACCGGCUAACUCCGUGCCAGCAGCCGCGGUAAUACGGAGGGUGCAAGCGUUAUCCGGAUUUACUGGGUUUAAAGGGUGUGUAGGCGGAUAUUUAAGUCAGAGGUGAAAUCUCCGGGCUC
Molecule: ribosomal RNA, 275 nt
Filed under: uncultured bacterium
Lineage: Bacteria
Description: partial 16S ribosomal RNA
Rfam family: Bacterial small subunit ribosomal RNA
Source: RNAcentral